CACAAGCGGUGGAGCAUGUGGUUAAUUCGAAGCAACGCGAAGACCUUACCAGGGCUUGACAUCCCCUGACCGCGUAUGAAAGUACGUUUUCACCCUCGGGUGACAGGGAGACAGGUGGUGCAUGGUUGUCGUCAGCUCGUGUCGUGAGAUGUUGGGUUAAGUCCCGCAACGAGCGCAACCCCUACGUUUAGUUGCUAACAGGUGAAGCUGAGCACUCUAGACGAACUGCCGUUGACAAAACGGAGGAAGGUGGGAUGACGUCAAAUCAUCAUGCCCCUUAUGUUCUGGGCUACACACGUGCUACAAUGGCCGGUACAGACGGAGGCGAAGCCGCGAGGCGGAGCAAAUCCGAAAAAGCCGGUCUCAGUUCGGAUUGCAGGCUGCAAUUCGCCUGCAUGAAGUCGGAAUCGCUAGUAAUCGCAGGUCAGCAUACUGCGGUGAAUACGUUCCCGGGCCUU
This 458-nucleotide ribosomal RNA is filed under the name uncultured Pelotomaculum sp. RNAcentral describes it as "bacterial SSU rRNA". It matches the Rfam family "Bacterial small subunit ribosomal RNA", at positions 924 to 1382 of the family's 1533-position model. Lineage: Bacteria; Bacillati; Bacillota; Clostridia; Eubacteriales; Desulfotomaculaceae. The record is from RNAcentral.